RNAcentral lists this ribosomal RNA (353 nucleotides) under uncultured Propionibacterium sp. Its description in RNAcentral is "bacterial SSU rRNA". It matches the Rfam family "Bacterial small subunit ribosomal RNA", at positions 1046 to 1397 of the family's 1533-position model. The record is from RNAcentral. Lineage: Bacteria; Bacillati; Actinomycetota; Actinomycetes; Propionibacteriales; Propionibacteriaceae.
UGGCUGUCGUCAGCUCGUGUCGUGAGAUGUUGGGUUAAGUCCCGCAACGAGCGCAACCCUUGUUCACUGUUGCCAGCACGUUAUGGUGGGGACUCAGUGGAGACCGCCGGGGUCAACUCGGAGGAAGGUGGGGAUGACGUCAAGUCAUCAUGCCCCUUAUGUCCAGGGCUUCACGCAUGCUACAAUGGCUGGUACAGAGAGUGGCGAGCCUGUGAGGGUGAGCGAAUCUCGGAAAGCCGGUCUCAGUUCGGAUUGGGGUCUGCAACUCGACCUCAUGAAGUCGGAGUCGCUAGUAAUCGCAGAUCAGCAACGCUGCGGUGAAUACGUUCCCGGGGCUUGUACACACCGCCCGU